This 68-nucleotide transfer RNA is filed under the name Sooglossus sechellensis (Seychelles frog). Its description in RNAcentral is "tRNA-Ser". Lineage: Eukaryota; Metazoa; Chordata; Amphibia; Anura; Sooglossidae. The record is from RNAcentral.
GACUUGGUUAGGAAAAACUGAAAACUGCUAAUUUCUCAGCCCCGAGGUUCAACUCCUCGGCCAUCUCA